UCGUCUCCUGCCUCGCUCGGUCUUUAGUUUCAAUCUGAAGGUCUUGAGCUGGAUGCACUAUUGUGUAAGAGACAAGAACGAUACUCGAUGAUCUUUGAGUACGGGCGCGCCGGAACUUUUUCAGCGGCAAACUCGUAAUUUAUCUGUCGGAACAUA
This 156-nucleotide small nucleolar RNA is filed under the name Macrophomina phaseolina MS6. Lineage: Eukaryota; Fungi; Ascomycota; Dothideomycetes; Botryosphaeriales; Botryosphaeriaceae. The record is from RNAcentral.